Molecule: unclassified non-coding RNA, 257 nt
Filed under: Clonostachys sp.
Lineage: Eukaryota; Fungi; Ascomycota; Sordariomycetes; Hypocreales; Bionectriaceae
Description: partial contains 5.8S ribosomal RNA, internal transcribed spacer 2, and large subunit ribosomal RNA
Source: RNAcentral
CGCACAUUGCGCCCGCCAGUAUUCUGGCGGGCAUGCCUGUCUGAGCGUCAUUUCAACCCUCAUGCCCCCGGGCGUGGUGUUGGGGAUCGGCCUGCAGCCCUCGGGCGGCGGCCGGCCCCUAAAUCUAGUGGCGGACCCGUCGUGGCCUCCUCUGCGAAGUAGUGAUACCCGCACCGGAAAGCGACGAGCCCCUGCCGUAAAACCCCAACUCUUUACAGGUUGACCUCAGAUCAGGUAGGAAUACCCGCUGAACUUAA